GUUGCGAUAAAAGCUGUUAUGCGAAAUCGGGCACCGGUUGUAACAUGGGUGAUUGACUUGAAACUUUUUGCAAUAGAAGCUGUUAUGCCAAAACCAGGCAGCGGAUGAAACAUGGGUGAUAGACUUGGAAGUUUUUGCGAUAGAAGCUAAUAUGCCGAAACCGGGCACCGGAUGUAACAUGGGUGAUAGACUUAGCAGUUUUUGCGAUAAAAGUUGUUAUGCCGAAAUCGAGCACCGGAUGUAACAUGGGUGAUAGAGUUGGCAAUUUAUCGGAUGGAAGCUGUUAUGACGAAAUCGGGCAUCGGUUGUAACAUGGGUGAUAGACUUUUUAGUUUUUGCGAUAUAAGCUGUUUUGCCAAAAUCAAGCACCGGAUAUAACAUGCGUGACAGACUUGCAGUUUUUGCGAUAGAAGGUGUGAUGCCGAAAUCAGGUAUCGGUUGUAACAUGGGUGAUAGACUUGACAGUUUUUGGGAUUGAAGCGGUUAUGCCGAAAUCGGGCACUGGUUAUAACAUGGGUGAUUGACUUGGUAGUUUUUGUGAUAUGAGCCGUUAUGCCGAAAUCGGGUAUCGGUUGUAACAUGGGUGAUAGGCUUGGCAGUUUUUAGGAUGGAAUCUAUUAUGCCAAAAUUAGGAACCGAUUGUAACAUGGGUGAUAGACUUGGCAGUUUUCGCGAUAGAAGCUGUUAUGCCGAAAUCGGGCUCCAGUUAUAACAUAGGUGAUAGACGUGGCAGUGUUUGAGAUAGAAGCUGUUAUGCUGAAAUCGGGCAACGGAUGUAACAUUAGUGAUAGACUUUGAUGUUUUUGGGAUGGAAGCCGUUAUGCCGAAAUCGGACACCGGUUGUAACACUAGUGAUAGAUUUGGCAGUUUUUGCGAUAAAAGCUGUUAUGCCGAAAUCCAACACCGGAUGUAACAUGGGUGAUAGACUUGGAAGUUUUUUUGUUAUAAAAGCUGUUAUGCCUAAAUCGGGCACCGGAUGUACCAUGGGUGAUAUAAUUGGCAGUUUUUGGAAUAGUUGUUAUGCCGAAAUCGGGCACCAAAUGUAACAUGGGUGAUAAAGUUGGCAGUUUUUGCUAUAGAAGCUGUUAUGCCCAAAUCGGGCACCAAUUGUAACAUGGGUCAUAAACUUGGCAGUUUUUGGGAUGAAAGUUGUUAUGCCAAAAUCGGACAACGGUUGUAACGUGGGUGAUAGACUUUGGAAUUUUUGCGAAGGAAGGUGUUUUGCCGAAAUCGGGCACCAGUUGUAACAUGGGUGGUGGACUUGGCAGAUUUUGGCAGGGACGUUGUUAUGCUGAAAUCGAGCACCGAUUGUAACAUGGGUGAUAGACUUGGCAGAUUUUGCGACAAAACUUGUUAUAUCGAAAUCGGGCACCGAUUGUAACAUGAAUGCUAAACUUGGGGGUUUUUGGGGUGGAAGCUGUUAUGCCGAAUUCAGGCACCGAUUGUAACAUGGGUAAACGACUUGGCAGUUUUUGCGAUACAAGCCGUUAUGCCAAAAUCGGGCACCGGUCAUAACAUAAGUGAUAGACUUGUCAGUUUUUGUGAGGGAAGCUGUUAUGCCGAUAUCAGGCACCGGUUGUAACAUGGGUGAUAGGCUUGGCAGAUUUUGCGACGGAAGCUAUUAUGCCGAAAUCGGGUACCGACUUUAACAUGGGUGAUAGAAUUUGCAGUUUUUGCGACGGAAUUGGUUUUGCCGAUAUCGGGCAUCAUGGGUAGCAUGGGUGAUAGAGUGGGCAAUUUUUGGCAUUGCAGCUGCUGUGCCGAAAUCGAGUACCGGUUGUAACAUGGGUGAUAGACUUGGUAGUUUUUGCGAUAGAAGCUGUUAGGCCGAAAUCGGGCACCGGAUGUAACGUGGGUAAUAGACUUGGCAGUUUUCGGGAUGGAAACUGUUAUGCCGAUAUCGGGCAUAGGUUGUAACAUGGGUGAUAGAAUUGACAGUUUUUGCGAUAGAAGCUGUUAUACCGAAUUCUGGCACCGGUUGUAACAUGGGUGACAGACUUGGCAGUCAUUGUGAUAGAAGCCGUUAUGCUGCAAUCGGGCACCGACUGUAACAUAUGUGGUAGACUUGUCAGUUUUUGUGGGGAAGCUGUUACGCCAAAAUCUGGUACCGGUUGUAACAUGGGUUAUAGACUUGACAGAUACUGCGACGGAAGCUGUUAUGCUAAAAUUGGGCACCGGCUGUAACAUGAGUGAUAGACUUGGCAGUUUUUGCAAUGAAACUGGUUUUGUCGAUAUCAGGCAUCGGGGGUAGCAUGGCUGAUAGACUUAGUAGUUUUUGGGAUGGAAGUUGUUAUACCGAAAUCGGGUACCGGUUGUAUCAUGGGUGAUAGACUUGACAGUUUUUGCGAUAGAUGCUGUUAUGCUGAAAUCGGGCACCGGUUGUAACAUAGGUCAUGAACUUGGCAGUUUUUGGGAUGAAAGCUGUUAUGCCGAAAUCGGGCAGCAGUUGUAACAUGGGUGAUAGACUUGGCAGUUUUUGCGAACGAAGGUGUUAUGCCCAAAUCGGGCACCGGUUGUAACAUGGCUAAUAGAUUUGAGAGAUUUUAUGAAGAAAACUGUUACGCCGAAAUCGGGCACCGAUUGAAACAUGCGUAUUGACUUGGCAGUUUUUGCGAUAGAAGCUGUUAUGCCGAAAUCGAGCACCUGUUGUAACAUGGGUGAUGGACUUGGCAGAUUUUGGCAAGGAAGUUGUUAUGCUAAAAUCGGACACAGGUUGCAACAUGGGUGAUAGACUUGGCACAUUUUGCGAUGAAAGUUGUUAUGUCGAAAUCGGGCACCGAUUGUAACAUGAGCGAUAGACUUAGGGGUUUUUGGGACAGAAGCUGUUAUGCCGAAUUCCGGCACAGGUUGUAACAUGGGUGAUAGACUUGGUUGUUUUUGCGAUAGAAGCUAUUAUGCCAAAGUCGGGCACCGGUUGUAACAUGGGUAAUAGGCUUGGCAGAUUUUGCGACGAAAGCUGUUAUGCCAAAAUCGGGCACCGGCUAUUACAUGAGUGAUAGACAUGGCAGAUUUUGGCAGGGACAUUGUUAUGCUGAAAUCGAGCACCGGUUGUAACCUGGGUGAUAGACUUGGCAGAUUUUUCGAUGAAAGUUGUUAUGACGAAAUCGGACACCGAUUGUAACAUGAGUGAUAGACUUAGGGGUUUUUGGGACAGAAGCUGUUAUACCGAAUUCCGGCACCGGUUGUAACAUGGGUGAUAGACUAGCAAGGAAGCUGUUAUACUAAAAUCGGGCACAGGUUGUAACAUGGGUGAUAGACUUGGCAGAUUUUGCGACGAAACCUGUUAUGCGGAAAUCGGGCACCGAUUGUAACAUGAGUGACAGACUUAAGGAUUUUUGGGAUGGAAGCUGUUAUGCCGAAUUUCGGCACCGGUUGUAACAUGGGUGAUAAACUUGGCAAUUUUUGCAAUAGAAGCUGUUAUGCCAAAGUCGGGCACAGGUUGUAACAUGAGUAAUAAUCUUGGCAGAUUUUGCGACAGAAGUUGUUAUGCCGAAAUCGGGCACCGGCUAUAACAUGGGUGAUAGACUUGGCAGUUUUUGCGAAGGAAGGUGUUAUGCCGAAAUCGGGUACCAGUUGUGACAUGGGUGAUGGAUUUGGCAGAUUUUGGCAGGGACGUUGUUAUGCUGAAAUCGAGCACCGGUUGUAACCUGGGUGAUAGACUUGGCAGAUUUUUCGACGAAAGCUGUUAUGCCGAAAUCGGGCACCGAUUGUAAUAUGAGUCGACUUAGGGGUUUUUGGGACAGAAGUUGUUAUACCGAAUUCCGGCACAGGUUGUAACAUAAGUGAUAGACUGACAAGGAAGCUGUUAUGCUAAAAUCGGACACAGGUUGUAACAUGGGUGAUAGACUUGGCAGAUUUUGCGACGAAAGUUGUUAUGCCGAUAUCGGGCACCGAUUGUAACAUGAGUGACAGACUUAAGGGUUUUUGGGACGGAAGCCGUUAUGUCAAAUUUUGGCACCGGUUGUAACAUGGGUGAUAAUCUUGGCAGAUUUUGCGACAGAAGCUGUUAUGCCGAAAUCGGGCACCGGCUAUAACAUGGGUGAUAGACUUGACAGUUUUUGCAAAGGAAGGUGUUAUGCCGAAAUCGGACACCAGAUAUGACAUGGGUGAUGGACUUGGCAGAUUUUGGCAGGGACGUUGUUAGGCUGAAAUCGAGCACCGGUUGUAACCUGGGUGAUAGACUUGGCAGAUUUUUCGACGAAAACUGUUAUGCCGAAAUCGGGCACCGAUUGUAACAUGAGUGAUAGACUUAGGGGUUUUUGGGACAGAAGUUGUUAUACCGAAUUCCGGCACCGGUUGUAACAUGGGUGAUAGACGGGCAAGGAAGCUGUUAUGCUAAAAUCGGACACAGGUUGUAACAUGGGUGAUAGACUUGGCAGAUUUUGCGACGAAAGUUGUUAUGCCGAAAUCGGGCACCAAUUGUAACAUGAGUGACAGACUUAAGGGUUUUUGGGACGAAAGCUGUUAUGCCGAAUUUCGGCACCGGUUGUAACAUGGGUGAUAAACUUGGCAGUUUUUGCGAUAGAAGCUGUUAUGCCAAAGUCGGGCACCGAUUGUAACAUGAGUAAUAAUCUUGGCAGAUUUUGCGACAGAAGCUGUUAUGCCGAAAUCGGGCACCGGCUAUAACAUGGGUGAUAGACUUGGCAGUUUUUGCGAAGGAAGGUGUUAUGCCGAAAUCGGGCACCAGUUGUGACAUGGGUGAUGGACUUGGCAGAUUUUGGCAGGGACGUUGUUAUGCUGAAAUCGAGCACCGGUUGUAACCUGGGUGAUAGACUUGACAGAUUUUUCGACAAAAGCUGUUAUGCCGAAAUCGGGCACCGAUUCUAACAUGAGUGAUAGACUUAGGGGUUUUUGGGACAGAAGCUGUUAUACCGAAUUCUGGCACCGAUUGUAACAUGGUUGAUAGACUUGGCAGUUUUUGCGAUAGAAGCAGUUAUGCCGAAAUCGGGCACCGAUUGUAACAUGGGUGAUAGGCUUGGCAGAUUUUGUGACAGAAGCUGUUAUGCCGAAAUUGGGCACCGGCUGUAACAU
Molecule: long non-coding RNA, 5031 nt
Filed under: Manihot esculenta (cassava)
Lineage: Eukaryota; Viridiplantae; Streptophyta; Magnoliopsida; Malpighiales; Euphorbiaceae
Description: long non-coding RNA (MESC_LNC007567)
Source: RNAcentral